Molecule: transfer RNA, 74 nt
Filed under: Sediminihabitans luteus
Lineage: Bacteria; Bacillati; Actinomycetota; Actinomycetes; Micrococcales; Cellulomonadaceae
Rfam family: tRNA
About the family: Transfer RNA (tRNA) molecules are approximately 80 nucleotides in length. Their secondary structure includes four short double-helical elements and three loops (D, anti-codon, and T loops).
Source: Rfam by way of RNAcentral
GCCCCCGUGGCCCAACUGGCAGAGGCAUCCGACUUAAAAUCGGCGGGUUCCGGGUUCGAGUCCCGGCGGGGGCA